This 460-nucleotide ribosomal RNA is filed under the name uncultured bacterium. Its description in RNAcentral is "partial 16S ribosomal RNA". It matches the Rfam family "Bacterial small subunit ribosomal RNA", at positions 338 to 795 of the family's 1533-position model. The record is from RNAcentral.
CCUACGGGAGACAGCAGUGAGGAAUAUUGGUCAAUGGGCGAGAGCCUGAACCAGCCAAGUCGCGUGAAGGAUGACGGCCCUACGGGUUGUAAACUUCUUUUGUCAGGGAGCAAUUUGGUCCACGCGUGGGCUUAGCUAGAGUACCUGAAGAAAAAGCAUCGGCUAACUCCGUGCCAGCAGCCGCGUUAAUACGGAGGAUGCGAGCGUUAUCCGGAUUUAUUGGGUUUAAGGGGUGCGUAGGCGGAAUAUCAAGUCAGCGGUAAAAAUUCGGGGCUAAACCCCGUCGUGCCGUUGAAACUGAUGUUAUUGAGUGGGCGAGAAGUAUGCGGAAUGCGUGGUGUAGCGGUGAAAUGCAUAGAUAUCACGAAGAACUCCGAUUGCGAAGGCAGCAUACCGACGCCCAACUGACGCUGAAGCACGAAAGCGUGGGUAUCGAACAGGAUUAGAUACCCGUGUAGUC